AGAGUUUGAUCCUGGCUCAGAACGAACGCUGGCGGCAGGCUUAACACAUGCAAGUCGAGCGCCCCGCAAGGGGAGCGGCAGACGGGUGAGUAACGCGUGGGAAUCUACCCAACUCUACGGAAUAACUCAGGGAAACUUGUGCUAAUACCGUAUACGCCCUUCGGGGGAAAGAUUUAUCGGAGUUGGAUGAGCCCGCGUUGGAUUAGCUAGUUGGUGGGGUAAAGGCCUACCAAGGCGACGAUCCAUAGCUGGUCUGAGAGGAUGAUCAGCCACAUUGGGACUGAGACACGGCCCAAACUCCUACGGGAGGCAGCAGUGGGGAAUAUUGGACAAUGGGCGCAAGCCUGAUCCAGCCAUGCCGCGUGUGUGAUGAAGGCCUUAGGGUUGUAAAGCACUUUCACCGGAGAAGAUAAUGACG
This 418-nucleotide ribosomal RNA is filed under the name uncultured Rhizobium sp. Its description in RNAcentral is "bacterial SSU rRNA". It matches the Rfam family "Bacterial small subunit ribosomal RNA", at positions 8 to 456 of the family's 1533-position model. The record is from RNAcentral. Lineage: Bacteria; Pseudomonadati; Pseudomonadota; Alphaproteobacteria; Hyphomicrobiales; Rhizobiaceae.